CACCAUCCAUAUUGCUAUAGCUACCACAACAUAAGCGCACAUGAGUUUGAUUCCCACCAUUCUACGUACUGUGUCAAAACUAGCACUACUACAAAGUUGGCCUAAUGUAACACCUUGUGGUAACACUUUAUAAGUCAAGAUAUAAAUAGAUAUUUAGGUAGCACUUUUGUAACACUUAGAUAAUAGGUAGCACUUGUAUGUAACACUUCAAAGUAACACUUUACAUAGAGUAACACUUUCAUGUAUUUGUCAAAAAAAAAAAAAAAAAAAAAAAAAAAAAAAAAAGGACCCUUGAAUUGCCUAACUCUCUCUCUCUCUCCUCUCUUUCACUUUUCCCUCUUUUCUCCAUCCAUCUCUGCGAUUCACACUUUCCAUCUUCUUCAUCAAUGGAAAGGCUCAAAAUCUCUCUGAAAUUUUACCCCAAUUGUUAGAUCCUUACUCCUCACCAAACUCUAGCUUCUUAACAAGAACUCAACAACCAAACCCAAACCCUAGCUUCGACUCAAUCGAACUAUCAAACCGCAAGAAAACAACCAAAAAUACAGCUGACGAGAUCAAUUCGGCGGCGAAGAAGGGACGACGAGCCAUUGAAAACGCCGUCUUCGUAUGAUGCAGCUACUGCUGCUGCCGGAAAUCCCUCCCUCUCUCCUCAAUUUUCACUCAACAGAUCCCAAUUUUCAUUCUCACUCUUCAAUUUCCACAAUAUUAGCAAAAAUAUUGUCUAAACAACAUGAUUUCUUCUAGUGAGCUCAAAUCCAUCGAAUUUUAUCGGACACAACCACCCUAUAUCCAGUACACUUUAUCCAACCUACUAACAAAACUUGUGAAGCUAUAAAGCCAGUACUCGCAAAAAGGGAGGCAGCAGAGGAAGGUGCUGAGGAGACUGUGAAUGAUCAUGGCCUAGUUCAGCACUGUUGCUACUUAUGUUGUGCUUUACUGCUACCUAGCCUUAAGCAUUGUAGUUUAUUUAUAUUUUAUAUUUUUUUGAUGAAAUUGUUACACUACAAGCAUUUAUUAAUAAAAAUAUCUAAGUUUGUU
This is a long non-coding RNA of Chenopodium quinoa (quinoa), 1038 nucleotides long. RefSeq lists it as uncharacterized. The record is from RefSeq and is a predicted model, not a curated record. NCBI's taxonomy places the organism in Eukaryota, Viridiplantae, Streptophyta, Magnoliopsida, Caryophyllales, Amaranthaceae. The transcript has 3 exons.